This 253-nucleotide ribosomal RNA is filed under the name uncultured bacterium. RNAcentral describes it as "partial 16S ribosomal RNA". It matches the Rfam family "Bacterial small subunit ribosomal RNA", at positions 524 to 776 of the family's 1533-position model. The record is from RNAcentral.
UACGGAGGAUCCAAGCGUUAUCCGGAAUCAUUGGGUUUAAAGGGUCCGUAGGCGGCUUUAUAAGUCAGUGGUGAAAUCCGGCAGCUCAACUGUCGAACUGCCAUUGAUACUGUAGGGCUUGAAUUAUUGUGAAGUAACUAGAAUAUGUAGUGUAGCGGUGAAAUGCUUAGAUAUUACAUGGAAUACCAAUUGCGAAGGCAGGUUACUAACAAUUGAUUGACGCUGAUGGACGAAAGCGUGGGGAGCGAACAGG